CAGUAGCCACGGGAAUACGAAGGGUGCAAGCGUUACUCGGAAUUACUGGGCGUAAAGCGUGCGUAGGUGGUUGUUUAAGUCUGUCGUGAAAGCCCUGGGCUCAACCUGGGAAUUGCGAUGGAUACUGGGCGACUAGAGUGCGGUAGAGGAUAGUGGAAUUUCCGGUGUAGCAGUGAAAUGCGUAGAGAUCGGAAGGAACAUCUGUGGCGAAGGCGACUAUCUGGGCCAACACAGACACUGAGACACGAAAGCGUGGGGAGCAAACAGGAUUAGAUACCCCAGUAGUCCCUGUCUCUUAUAC
This 301-nucleotide ribosomal RNA is filed under the name uncultured bacterium. Its description in RNAcentral is "partial 16S ribosomal RNA". It matches the Rfam family "Bacterial small subunit ribosomal RNA", at positions 509 to 807 of the family's 1533-position model. The record is from RNAcentral.